RNAcentral lists this non-coding RNA (30 nucleotides) under Rattus norvegicus (Norway rat). The record is from RNAcentral. Lineage: Eukaryota; Metazoa; Chordata; Mammalia; Rodentia; Muridae.
CCCUGCCUCAUACAAAUAUGCACACAUUGC